This 327-nucleotide ribosomal RNA is filed under the name uncultured Flavobacteriaceae bacterium. Its description in RNAcentral is "bacterial LSU rRNA". It matches the Rfam family "Bacterial large subunit ribosomal RNA", at positions 1 to 344 of the family's 2925-position model. The record is from RNAcentral. Lineage: Bacteria; Pseudomonadati; Bacteroidota; Flavobacteriia; Flavobacteriales; Flavobacteriaceae.
AAUAAGCUAAUUAAGAGCGUAAGGUGGAUGCCUUGGCUCUCAGAGGCGAUGAAGGACGUGAUAAGCUGCGAUAAGCUACGGGGAUUGGCACACACAAUUUGAUCCGUAGAUUUCCGAAUGGGGAAACCCACUAUAUUGAAGAUAUAGUAUCCGUUAAGGAAGCAAACCCAGGGAACUGAAACAUCUAAGUACCUGGAGGAAUAGAAAACAAAAGUGAUUCCGCUAGUAGUGGCGAGCGAACGCGGAUCAGCCCAAACCAAAAUUGUUUCGGCAAUUUUGGGGUUGUAGGACCACGACAUUGAAUGUUUAAUGAAUUAGAAUUCUUUG